GAUGAACGCUGGCGGCGUGCCUAAUACAUGCAAGUCGAGCGAACAGACGAGGAGCUUGCUCCUCUGACGUUAGCGGCGGACGGGUGAGUAACACGUGGAUAACCUACCUAUAAGACUGGGAUAACUUCGGGAAACCGGAGCUAAUACCGGAUAAUAUAUUGAACCGCAUGGUUCAAUAGUGAAAGACGGUUUUGCUGUCACUUAUAGAUGGAUCCGCGCCGCAUUAGCUAGUUGGUAAGGUAACGGCCUACCAAGGCAACGAUGCGUAGCCGACCUGAGAGGGUGAUCGGCCACACUGGAACUGAGACACGGUCCAGACUCCUACGGGAGGCAGCAGUAGGGAAUCUUCCGCAAUGGGCGAAAGCCUGACGGAGCAACGCCGCGUGAGUGAUGAAGGUCUUCGGAUCGUAAAACUCUGUUAUUAGGGAAGAACAAAUGUGUAAGUAACUAUGCACGUCUUGACGGUACCUAAGCAGAAAGCCACGGCUAACUACGU
Molecule: ribosomal RNA, 496 nt
Filed under: uncultured bacterium
Lineage: Bacteria
Description: partial 16S ribosomal RNA
Rfam family: Bacterial small subunit ribosomal RNA
Source: RNAcentral